GGGCGGUGUGUACAAAGGGCAGGGACGUAAUCAAUGCGAGUUAAUGACUCACACUUACUGGGAAUUCCAAGUUCAUGUGAACAGUUUCAGUUCACAAUCCCAAGCAUGAAAGUGGUUCAGCGGUUUACCCGGACCUCUCGGUCUAGGAAAUACACGUUGAUACUUUCAUUGUAGCGCGCGUGCAGCCCAGGACAUCUAAGGGCAUUACAGACCUGUUAUUGCUCAAUCUCAUUAUUGCUAGACGCAAUUUGUCCAUUUAAGAAGCUAGUGUCCUUAUAAUGGGACAAACCAACAGGUACGGCUCCACUUGAAUAAACACAUUCAAACACUUAUACAUUUUACUGCAGUCAUGAAUGAAGGCUACACAAGCCUCAGCACCAUAAUCCUGAAAGCAUCUAUUUAAUAUAUUUGAGUCUCGUUCGUUAUCGGAAUUAACCAGACAAAUCACUCCACGAACUAAGAACGGCCAUGCACCACCACCCAUAGAUUCGAGAAAGAGCUAUCAAUCUGUCUUACACACUUAUGUUCGGACCUGGUAAGUUUUCCCGUGUUGAGUCAAAUUAAGCCGCAGGCUCCACUCCUGGUGGUGCCCUUCCGUCAAUUCCUUUAAGUUUCAGCUUUGCAACCAUACUUCCCCCGGAGCCCAAAAGCUUUGGUUUCCCGGGAAGCGACUGAGAGAGCCAUGAAAGUAGCUACACCCAAUUGCUAGCUGGCAUCGUUUAUGGUUAGAACUAGGGCGGUAUCUGAUCGCCUUCGAACCUCUAACUUUCGUUCUUGAUUAAUGAAAACAUCUUUGGCAAAUGCUUUCGCUUAAGUUAGUCUUACGACGGUCCAAGAAUUUCACCUCUCGCGUCGUAAUACUAAUGCCCCCAAACUGCUUCUAUUAAUCAUUACCUCUUGAUCUAAAAACCAAUGAAAGUAGAACAGAGGUCUUAUUUCAUUAUUCCAUGCACAAAAUAUUCAGGCAUUUGGAGCCUGCUU
RNAcentral lists this ribosomal RNA (981 nucleotides) under uncultured eukaryote. RNAcentral describes it as "partial 18S ribosomal RNA". The record is from RNAcentral.